UACAGAGGUCUCAAGCGUUGUUCGGAUUCAUUGGGCGUAAAGGGUGCGUAGGUGGCGCCGUAAGUCGGGUGUGAAAUUUCGGAGCUUAACUCCGAAACUGCAUUCGAUACUGCGGUGCUUGAGGACCGGAGAGGAGACUGGAAUUCAUGGUGUAGCAGUGAAAUGCGUAGAGAUCAUGAGGAAGACCAGUGGCGAAGGCGGGUCUCUGGACAGUUCCUGACACUGAGGCACGAAGGCCAGGGGAGCAAACGGG
This 253-nucleotide ribosomal RNA is filed under the name uncultured bacterium. Its description in RNAcentral is "partial 16S ribosomal RNA". It matches the Rfam family "Bacterial small subunit ribosomal RNA", at positions 524 to 776 of the family's 1533-position model. The record is from RNAcentral.